UUAAAUUGCUGUGGUAUUUUGACUAUACAAAGGUAUUGAAAUAAGAUUUUAAUUGAAUGCUAAGAGAAUGGAAUUACAGAAAAUAGCUUUUUUUAGAUUAAAAAUUGAAAUUUUUUUAAUUUGUGCAGAAACAAUUAUUAAUAUUAAGGACAAGAAGACCCUAUGAAUUUAUAAAUUUAUUUUAUAGUAAUUAAUAUAAAAUAAAUUUUGGUUGGGGCGACAAAAAAAAAUAAAAAACUUUUUUUUUAUAAAAUGAUCCAUUAUUAAUGAUUAUAUGAAAAAUACUCUAGGGAUAACAGCGUUAUAUUUUUUGAUAGCUCAUAUUGACAAAAAAGUUUGCGACCUCGAUGUUGGAUUAGGAUACUUUUUUAAUGAAAAUAUUAAAAAAAAAAGUUUGUUCAACUUUUAAUUUCCUACUUGAUCUG
Molecule: ribosomal RNA, 425 nt
Filed under: Rhipicephalus haemaphysaloides
Lineage: Eukaryota; Metazoa; Arthropoda; Arachnida; Ixodida; Ixodidae
Description: partial large subunit ribosomal RNA
Rfam family: Archaeal large subunit ribosomal RNA (bases 292-425)
Source: RNAcentral